GUGGUAAAAUCCAUUAUAUUUCUAGUCUCAUGAACAGCUAAUAUACAUAUUUUAUUCCUUCACCAGUAACACAAGUUUAACGUUUCGUAUAGUUACCAUACCUUGCCAAUAUGUUCUCAUUAAUUGUUUAAUAAUUAAGUCAAUACACUUUUGAUCUACUGAUCACAUGUAAUACGUGAAAAUUACGUCGUACAUAGACUUGUCAUAUCGAUACACAGAAUUAUAUACCUACUCGGGCCGAAACGUAAACAAGAUUUGUUUCGUACCUUUCUGACCUUCAUAUCCAAGAAUACUACCCUUUUCAACAUAGUGAGGGCAGGAAUCAACUUUUACAUCAUUUACUUACAUAUUGCGAUGUUUGAAUUUGGAACUAUAAUCAUUAUAUUCAAGUUUUUCUCAUGUUAGCAGUGACUAAAAUUCAACGUUUUGUUAUCCUCCUCAGCACGUUUUUCUGAUUACCUUAAAUUUUGUAAACAACUGGUCAUUCGAUUUCCAAUCUUUUUUUUCAUUCGAUAAACUAGUAAGUAUCAUCAAAAAUAUGAAAAAAUUCAGGUGACAUAACACUAGAAGUGAUAAUUUUAUUCUACGUAAUAUUGUAAAGUAGAACAAUAUGUUACCUCCAUUUUUUCAAAUUCUUUUCCUUGUGUUAUUGUUAAUUCCCUAACAUAGGAAAAAAAGUUGAAAAAUCGAUGAACAGAUUUUUUUACAAAGGUCACCAAGAAAUUACGUAGUUGAGCAUAUAAGUGCAUCCCUUCGCGGCGUCUUUAUUAAUUGUAAAACAUACGUUUUCCUAUACCAUAAUGUAUAUAUUGGAAUAACCCAUGCUAGGAAAGCGAGUGGCCGUAGAUGAAGCUCGUGUACCAUGGAUGUUACAUAUACGUAUAAUGAGCGCAUGUAUCAAACGACAAGCGGUCGCGAAGAAUCGAGAAUGUCCGAGCGUGAAAUACUCGCGCCUCUUCUUCUGCCUCUGAUUGGCUCGCUAGGUCAGCGUGUUGUAACUCGUACGGUUCCUGCACGCUGAGAGCCGAGGACGACGCGCCAGAAUGCCCCCCCCCCCCCCCCCCCCCCCCCACCACCGUUCGCGAAGGCUCUCAGCUCACGCGAUCAGUGAAUCAGUCUAAUUUGACCAACUUCCGAGGUCAGUGCACGUCCGUGUUUAUGUGAGCCUUCAUAAGCUGGUAUUUGACGGAUUAGCACUGAUAUCGAGGAAGUGAAUGCUCCAGCUGCGGUCGAAUAAUAAUUAAAACUUAUGCGUACUGCGUACCUAGACAACGCUUUCUAUAGCGUCUGUGUUCUUUUUUGAAAUAAUGUGCCAAUACUUUUUAUUAUUUUACUUUGUCAGGAUUGUGAUUUUUUACCUAGUCCCGAGAUGAAAGUUAACAAUUUUCCUCGUUAGGGUAUAAUCAUUGUAUGAUUAUUUUGUUUCAUGUUUUAUUUGUUAUCAAACCUCUUGUAUCGGAUAUAAGUUUUUGUUUGUUCAUGUUUACUUAAUUUUACUAUUUGCUAUACUUCUAUACUCUUGUGAGUACAUCUGUACAAUUGAGGUAUGCGUAUAUGUAAAAGACUGUAUGUUUAUUUAUACAUCCCAGUCAACAUUCACACAGUUACAUCGUUGGCAUAAUAAAAUGUCCGCAUCAACGAUACAGACAAACUGGUAUAUAAAAAACUACUGUUAUGUUUCGGAUACAUUGUUAAAGCGGAUAUUUCGAUACGUGUGCAAUGUAACUAUUGUCAUUGUUGCCUUGGAUGAAAGUACCUUAUAAUAAAUAUAUAUCAUGUUUCGCAAAGGUGUGUGCUUUAUCUCAUUUAGUUGUCCUGUAUUUCUCAUAAGAAUACAUAGGUGUGGAUGUAAAAUAAUUAAUAUCAUUUAAUUGGUGCAAGUUACCAUUACUGAAAUAGCUAAGAAUGUGAGCGUUGCUGUAUCAUCUAACCCCUGAGAUAAGUCCAUAUUGACCAUACAAGAAGCUUUUAACAGCUUGUGUAUUAAUAUAGUACAUGAAAAAUUAUACCGAAAACAUAUUCUCAAGUUGGUUGUUACACGUUUAUCGGAACCGCGUGAUAUUCGAUUAAGUGUAUUCAAUUAAACGUAUAAUAAUUGUUUACGGAUAUCGUUUUUACGUUAAAUCAACACACAUUAAGUACGUGUAUUAUUAUGAAAAAAAUUUUCCAAUGAACACGCUUAUUAAACGUGUUUGAACCACGAAAAAUGGUGGCUAUAACAGGUAUAUAUUAAACGUCUACGUUAACAUUUAAAUUGCGUUCUUUCAUACUUGUUUCAUUACGUUUCUGAAAACCGUAAUUUCGACGUUUACUUCAACCGUGGAAUAUCCGGAUCAUAAUCACUAACAGAAAACGUUGAUGAGC
This 2364-nucleotide long non-coding RNA is filed under the name Neodiprion pinetum (white pine sawfly). RNAcentral describes it as "uncharacterized LOC124221633". The record is from RNAcentral. Lineage: Eukaryota; Metazoa; Arthropoda; Insecta; Hymenoptera; Diprionidae.